RNAcentral lists this ribosomal RNA (1490 nucleotides) under uncultured organism. RNAcentral describes it as "SSU rRNA". It matches the Rfam family "Bacterial small subunit ribosomal RNA". The record is from RNAcentral.
GGCUCAGGAUGAACGCUGGCGGCGUGCCUAAUACAUGCAAGUCGAACGAGUUCUGAUUAUUGAAAGGUGCUUGCAUCUUGAUUUUAAUUUUGAACGAGUGGCGGACGGGUGAGUAACACGUGGGUAACCUGCCCUUAAGUGGGGGAUAACAUUUGGAAACAGAUGCUAAUACCGCAUAAAUCCAAGAACCGCAUGGUUCUUGGCUGAAAGAUGGCGUAAGCUAUCGCUUUUGGAUGGACCCGCGGCGUAUUAGCUAGUUGGUGAGGUAACGGCUCACCAAGGCAAUGAUACGUAGCCGAACUGAGAGGUUGAUCGGCCACAUUGGGACUGAGACACGGCCCAAACUCCUACGGGAGGCAGCAGUAGGGAAUCUUCCACAAUGGACGCAAGUCUGAUGGAGCAACGCCGCGUGAGUGAAGAAGGCUUUCGGGUCGUAAAACUCUGUUGUUGGAGAAGAAUGGUCGGCAGAGUAACUGUUGUCGGCGUGACGGUAUCCAACCAGAAAGCCACGGCUAACUACGUGCCAGCAGCCGCGGUAAUACGUAGGUGGCAAGCGUUAUCCGGAUUUAUUGGGCGUAAAGCGAGCGCAGGCGGUUUUUUAAGUCUGAUGUGAAAGCCCUCGGCUUAACCGAGGAAGUGCAUCGGAAACUGGGAAACUUGAGUGCAGAAGAGGACAGUGGAACUCCAUGUGUAGCGGUGAAAUGCGUAGAUAUAUGGAAGAACACCAGUGGCGAAGGCGGCUGUCUGGUCUGUAACUGACGCUGAGGCUCGAAAGCAUGGGUAGCGAACAGGAUUAGAUACCCUGGUAGUCCAUGCCGUAAACGAUGAAUGCUAGGUGUUGGAGGGUUUCCGCCCUUCAGUGCCGCAGCUAACGCAUUAAGCAUUCCGCCUGGGGAGUACGACCGCAAGGUUGAAACUCAAAGGAAUUGACGGGGGCCCGCACAAGCGGUGGAGCAUGUGGUUUAAUUCGAAGCAACGCGAAGAACCUUACCAGGUCUUGACAUCUUUUGAUCACCUGAGAGAUCAGGUUUCCCCUUCGGGGGCAAAAUGACAGGUGGUGCAUGGUUGUCGUCAGCUCGUGUCGUGAGAUGUUGGGUUAAGUCCCGCAACGAGCGCAACCCUUAUGACUAGUUGCCAGCAUUUAGUUGGGCACUCUAGUAAGACUGCCGGUGACAAACCGGAGGAAGGUGGGGAUGACGUCAAAUCAUCAUGCCCCUUAUGACCUGGGCUACACACGUGCUACAAUGGAUGGUACAACGAGUUGCAAGACCGCGAGGUCAAGCUAAUCUCUUAAAGCCAUUCUCAGUUCGGACUGUAGGCUGCAACUCGCCUACACGAAGUCGGAAUCGCUAGUAAUCGCGGAUCAGCACGCCGCGGUGAAUACGUUCCCGGGCCUUGUACACACCGCCCGUCACACCAUGAGAGUUUGUAACACCCGAAGCCGGUGGCGUAACCCUUUUAGGGAGCGAGCCGUCUAAGGUGGGACAAAU